RNAcentral lists this unclassified non-coding RNA (341 nucleotides) under uncultured fungus. Its description in RNAcentral is "sequence contains ITS2". Lineage: Eukaryota; Fungi. RNAcentral also lists the same sequence under 1 other name. The record is from RNAcentral.
AACGCAUAUUGCGCUCUUUGGUAUUCCGAAGAGCAUGCUUGUUUGAGUAUCAGUAAACACCUCAAAGACUUCAAUUUGUUUUGAAUGGCUUUGGACUUGAGCAAUCCCAACACCAGUCUUUACGAUCGGUGGAGGGUUGCUUGAAAUGCAGGUGCAGCUGGACAUUCUCCUGAGCUAAAAGCAUAUUUAUUUAGUCCCGUCAAACGGAUUAUUACUUUUGCUGCAGCUAACAUAAAGGGAGUUUGACCGUAUUGGCUGACUGAUGCAGGAUUUCACAAGGGUCGGCAACGAUUCUUGUAAAACUCGAUCUCAAAUCAAGUAAGACUACCCGCUGAACUUAA